Long non-coding RNA from Oreochromis niloticus (Nile tilapia), 2688 nucleotides. NCBI's taxonomy places the organism in Eukaryota, Metazoa, Chordata, Actinopteri, Cichliformes, Cichlidae. The record is from Ensembl.
CGGCAGGUUGUUUUGUUCCGGCGUUGCGGAGAGAGGUGCUUGUGUGAUCCUCCACCAGUGAGAGUAUAGCGCCUCCGGUCCUGGGGGUUUGAGCGCUGCCUUCACCUCCGUGGCAACUCACUCAGCCUUAAGUGAAGAAUCAAGACAUCUGCCUAGCCGUUGUUGUGAGGGCUCCUCCUCAGUGGAGCCUGCUGUCUUGUCUUGUCUUGUUUGGUUUUGAAUUGUUUUACCUUGUCUUAUUUGGUUUUAUUAAGUAGGCCUACCAUUUCCUGGUUCGCCUGGUUUUAUUUUAUCUCUGGAUUGUUGCGUGUGCCCACGCUUCUGUGAUCGGGCUGAAGCAAUUCUUUGCCCGAGUGUCGUGCCGGGGAUUUUAAAUUGCCCCGUUGCUGGUCUUAGCCUGUGGGGAGCCAGACCAGCUCGCGAUUGAGGCUGGGACCAUUACUACCAUGAACGGAGGACGUACCAGUGGCCCUGGGACCUUAGGUGGUGGGUCGUUUUCACACUUUCUUUUGUACAGCACCGGGUGGGCUGCAGUGAUUUUCGUUUUGUGUGAUUUUCUUUUGGGUCCACGGCUGCUGGUAAGUCCAAGUUCCAUGUUUGUUUUAUUUUCACUUUAGGACACUGUCAACAAUGACGCUACAUCUUGGUUUCUAAAUAUUUUAUUUAUUUUUACUAUAAAUAAAACUGUUUUAAUAUUGGAGCCAACCUGCCUCAGUGUGCAUCCUUGAAUCUGUGCGGCCUCCUUUUAUUCUUUUUUAUCUAUUUUUCUUAAAUAUAUUUCCUGGGGGUGAAAUUCCCCUAGGUGGCGUUGUCAUUUUAUUAUUUCUUUUAUAACCCCGCCGACCACUUGGUCACAUUUAGAUUAAACAUUAAAAUAAUUAUUUCUGCCUAAGUUUUACCUUACCUAAAUUAUCAAACACCCGAAAAGUCACAAAAUGAUCAUAUAAUCCAUUGUUCCACAUUAGACCUAAAAUUCACCCUUUCUGACACAUUUCCAUGUGUCAAACAAAACCACAAUUACGAAAUUAAAAGAGAGGAAAAAGGUUAAUCAUAUUAUUUCUCAGAACACCUCAGCAAUUCUCCUCUCGAGUAUAUUUGCUCCGGGCCAGCAAACCGGUGUUAAAGGAAUAAAAUUGGUUUAAGUAUCAUGUUAAAUCUUUUGAACUCCUGGCUCCACCCAGAGCCUGCAUCCUCGGAACUGCCUAGAAACAAACCUGUGUGUUAACAUCAACUUCACAUUUGAAACUCAGUUUUCCCCACUGUGAUCAAAUCUGUGCUAUAAGAAAUAAAACUUAAAACAGAACAGUUAUCACUCAUGUGCUUCAUACAAAAUUAGCAUAUUUUUUAAUUUCACAUCGAUCCUCUGAGUGUCAUGGUACUUCUUUUAAUUUUGACUUUAUCAAAGCUAACUAAAAUAGAUUUGCUUUCCUUACUUUGCUCCUGUUCUCCUCCAGUACCAGCUAGUAUCACAUACCCUUACCGAUCGUGUUCUUUUAAUAAUUUACUAUUUUAAAGGAAAAAACCUCGGUCCUUGGACCAGUGUUUGUUAUUCCAUAACUGCAUUUUAAUCUAAGAAGUUACCAAUCCCCUAUAUAAUUCCUAAAUUUUGCUUUCAUUCUAAUUAUUUUCCUCUAUAAAAUUUAUUUGAUUUCUACGGUGGCCUGCUUUGGUUAAUGGUAGUCUGAGUAAUAUCAAAAAUUUUCUCCCCUUUAACAUUUGACAUUUUCCCAGCAAUAUAAUGUAAUACCAUAAUCUAAACCCAGUCAAUAAAACAGAAUUUUCUUAAAGCAAACAUCAGCAACCCAAAAUUAGCAGCCGAAAGGUUAAGUCUGCAGCUCCACACUCAUGUGAAACUACACUCUUCCGCUCUGGUCUCUCUUCUCCUCCUGCUCAUGGCAAAGCAAAACAAAGCAAAGCAAAGCAUCCCCCCAUCUGUUGCCGGCGUGGUGAAUUGUUUGUCAACAUUUACUCAUCCUAACCUUGGUCCAGUCUUUAUCUCAGUGUCAAGUCAGUCAGCACUUUAGUCCACAUCGUCAGUCCAGUCACACAUUCACUCACCCACAUUCACAUGAGAUAUUGCUGAUAGUGGAGAUUCCCACGCAAACAAUCAGAUUCUCCACCCUCAGCAACAUGAGCUCAUUCAUUUGUUUUAUUUUUUUUUUGUUUUUUGUUUUUAGAAAAAGAGUUCUUUAGUAUCUUUUAACUGGAUUUACUCGCUGCAAUCCUUUUGGACAGGAACUCAAACGCUCAUCGGUUCCCACAGUUAGGCUUUUCCUCAACCCAUUGUAAUCAGGAAAUGCUCACCUUAUAUUUGUUCUCCCGAAAAUGUUUUAUAGCGCUGUUAAUUCAAUCUUUCAGGCCUGCUUAGAAAAAAAAUGAGUAAAAAGAGAGCUGAAUAUUAGCUCAUCAAAGCACAAAGCAUCGUCACCUGACAGGUUUUCUCCAAGUGCACUGUUACAAAAAUAAUGGCCCCAGUUAUAGACAUGUCCAUGAUUAGUAAAACUCCCUCUAUUGAAAUAAGAAACAACCCAAACCUAACUGCCAGAAUUAACCCCUCACUAAAACAACAACCCCAAAAAUCUUAAUCACAGAAAAGUUUUGCUUACUAAUCUAACAAUAUGUUGUGGGAAUUAGAACUUUCCGGGCUACAAAAGUUUUGCCCUACUCCUGCUUAACUAAUACUUACAU